CGCGCAAAGCUCUUUUUUUUUUAAAGACCUUUUUCGGAAGGUAUGCUUAAAGAGGGGCUUGCGCUCACAUUAGUUAGUUGGCAGGGUAAAGGCCUACCAAGACUAUGAUGUGUAGCUGGACUGAGAGGUUGAACAGCCACAUUGGGACUGAGACACGGCCCAAACUCCUACGGGAGGCAGCAGUAGGGAAUUUUCGGCAAUGGAGGAAACUCUGACCGAGCAACGCCGCGUGAACGAUGAAGUAUUUCGGUAUGUAAAGUUCUUUUAUUGAAGAAGAAAAAAUAGUGGAAAAACUAUCUUGACGAUAUUCAAUGAAUAAGCCCCGGCAAACUAUGUGCCAGCAGCCGCGGUAAUACAUAGGGGGCGAGCGUUAUCCGGAAUUAUUGGGCGUAAAGGGUGCGUAGGCGGGUUAAUAAGUCUAUAGUUUAAUUUCAGUGCUUAACACUGUCCUGCUAUAGAAACUAUUAGACUAGAGUGAGAUAGAGGCAAGUGGAAUUCCAUGUGUAGCGGUAAAAUGCGUAAAUAUAUGGAGGAACACCAGAGGCGUAGGCGGCUUGCUGGGUCUUUACUGACGCUGAGGCACGAAAGCGUGGGGAGCAAACAGGAUUAGAUACCCUGGUAGUCCACGCCGUAAACGAUGAGUACUAAGUGUCGGGAUUACUCGGUACUGAAGUUAACACAUUAAGUACUCCGCCUGAGUAGUACGUACGCAAGUAUGAAACUUAAAGGAAUUGACGGGACUCCGCACAAGCGGUGGAUCAUGUUGUUUAAUUCGAAGAUACACGAAAAACCUUACCAGGUCUUGACAUACUCUGCAAAGCUAUAGCAAUAUAGUGGAGGUUAUCAGGGAUACAGGUGGUGCAUGGUUGUCGUCAGCUCGUGUCGUGAGAUGUUAGGUUAAGUCCUAAAACGAGCGCAACCCUUGUCAUUAGUUGCCAGCAUGUCAUGAUGGGCACUUUAAUGAGACUGCCAAUGAAAAAUUGGAGGAAGGUGAGGAUCACGUCAAAUCAUCAUGCCCCUUAUGAUCUGGGCUACAAACGUGAUACAAUGGCUGUUACAAAGAGUAGCUGAAACGCAAGUUUAUAGCCAAUCUCAUAAAAGCAGUCUCAGUUCGGAUUGAAGUCUGCAACUCGACUUCAUGAAGUUGGAAUCGCCUAGUAAUCCGCCG
This 1168-nucleotide unclassified non-coding RNA is filed under the name Candidatus Phytoplasma oryzae. RNAcentral's name for it is "bacterial SSU rRNA". It matches the Rfam family "Bacterial small subunit ribosomal RNA", at positions 172 to 1348 of the family's 1533-position model. Lineage: Bacteria; Bacillati; Mycoplasmatota; Mollicutes; Acholeplasmatales; Acholeplasmataceae. The record is from RNAcentral.